UAAUCGGAACGUACCUUAUAGUGGGGGACAACUCGUCGAAAGAUGAGCUAAUACCGCAUAAGCUCUGAGGAGGAAAGUGGGGGACCUGAGAGGGCCUCACGCUAUGGGAGCGGCCGAUAACUGAUUAGCUGGUUGGGGAGGUAAAGGCUCACCAAGGCGAUGAUCAGUAGCUGGUCUGAGAGGACGACCAGCCACACUGGAACUGAGACACGGUCCAG
This 218-nucleotide ribosomal RNA is filed under the name uncultured bacterium. Its description in RNAcentral is "partial 16S ribosomal RNA". It matches the Rfam family "Bacterial small subunit ribosomal RNA", at positions 115 to 334 of the family's 1533-position model. The record is from RNAcentral.